GAUGAACGCUGGCGGCGUGCUUAACACAUGCAAGUCGAACGGAAAGGCUCCUGCUUGCAGGGGUACUCGAGUGGCGAACGGGUGAGUAACACGUGGGUGAUCUGCCCUGCACUUCGGGAUAAGCCUGGGAAACUGGGUCUAAUACCGGAUAGGACGAUGGUUUGGAUGCCAUUGUGGAAAGUUUUUCGGUGUGGGAUGAGCUCGCGACCUAUCAGCUUGUUGGUGGGGUAAUGGCCUACCAAGGCGUCGACGGGUAGCCGGCCUGAGAGGGUGUACGGCCACAUUGGGACUGAGAUACGGCCCAGACUCCUACGGGAGGCAGCAGUGGGGAAUAUUGCACAAUGGGCGCAAGCCUGAUGCAGCGACGCCGCGUGGGGGAUGACGGCCUUCGGGUUGUAAACUCCUUUCGCUAGGGACGAAGCGCAAGUGACGGUACCUGGAGAAGAAGCACCGGCUAACUACGUG
RNAcentral lists this ribosomal RNA (465 nucleotides) under uncultured bacterium. RNAcentral describes it as "partial 16S ribosomal RNA". It matches the Rfam family "Bacterial small subunit ribosomal RNA", at positions 28 to 507 of the family's 1533-position model. The record is from RNAcentral.